Molecule: ribosomal RNA, 477 nt
Filed under: uncultured bacterium
Lineage: Bacteria
Description: bacterial SSU rRNA
Rfam family: Bacterial small subunit ribosomal RNA
Source: RNAcentral
UGAACGCUGGCGGCGUGCUUAACACAUGCAAGUCGAACGGGGUUAGCGAGAGCUUGCUUUAGCUAAACCUAGUGGCGGACGGGUGAGUAACGCGUGAGUAACCUGCCUUAGACUGGGGGAUAACACUUAGAAAUAGGUGCUAAUACCGCAUAAGCGCACAGUGCCGCAUGGCACAGUGUGAAAAACUCCGGUGGUCUAAGAUGGACUCGCGUCUGAUUAGCUAGUUGGUGAGGUAACGGCCCACCAAGGCGACGAUCAGUAGCCGGCCUGAGAGGGUGAACGGCCACAUUGGGACUGAGACACGGCCCAAACUCCUACGGGAGGCAGCAGUGGGGGAUAUUGCACAAUGGGCGAAAGCCUGAUGCAAGCGACGCCGCGUGAGUGAAGAAGUAUUUCGGUAUGUAAAGCUCUAUCAGCAGGGAAGAAAAUGACGGUACCUGACUAAGAAGCCCCGGCUAACUACGUGCCAGCAGCCGC